ACAGGGGAAGUUUUUUAAAUUUAAUAAUUGAAGUUAUUUUAAUUUGUGAAGAAACAAUUAUAUAAAUUAAAGACAAGAAGACCCUAAGAAUUUAAGAAUUUUUAUUAAUAUAUUAUAUGUAUAUAUAUAAAUAAAAUUCUUAGUUGGGGCAACUAAAAAAUAUAUUAAACUUUUUUUUUAAAAAAAUGACCCAUUAUUAAUGAUAAUAUGAAAAAAA
This 217-nucleotide ribosomal RNA is filed under the name Dermacentor silvarum. RNAcentral describes it as "partial large subunit ribosomal RNA". The record is from RNAcentral. Lineage: Eukaryota; Metazoa; Arthropoda; Arachnida; Ixodida; Ixodidae.